AGCGAACGCUGGCGGCAGGCCUAACACAUGCAAGUCGAACGGGCACCUUCGGGUGUCAGUGGCAGACGGGUGAGUAACACGUGGGAACGUGCCCUUUGGUUCGGGACAACUCCGGGAAACUGGAGCUAAUACCGGAUAAGCCCUUCGGGGAAGGAUUAUCGCCAAGGAUCGGCCCGCGUCUGAUUAGCUAGUUGGUGAGGUAAUGGCUCACCAAGGCGACGAUCAGUAGCUGGUCNGAGAGGAUGAUCAGCCACACUGGGACUGAGACACGGCCCAGACUCCUACGGGAGGCAGCAGUGGGGAAUAUUGGACAAUGGGCGCAAGCCUGAUCCAGCCAUGCCGCGUGAGUGAUGAAGGCCUUAGGG
Molecule: ribosomal RNA, 365 nt
Filed under: uncultured bacterium
Lineage: Bacteria
Description: bacterial SSU rRNA
Rfam family: Bacterial small subunit ribosomal RNA
Source: RNAcentral